Molecule: transfer RNA, 75 nt
Filed under: Candidatus Woesearchaeota archaeon
Lineage: Archaea; Nanobdellati; Candidatus Woesearchaeota
Description: tRNA-Met
Rfam family: tRNA
About the family: Transfer RNA (tRNA) molecules are approximately 80 nucleotides in length. Their secondary structure includes four short double-helical elements and three loops (D, anti-codon, and T loops). Further hydrogen bonds mediate the characteristic L-shaped molecular structure. tRNAs have two regions of fundamental functional importance: the anti-codon, which is responsible for specific mRNA codon recognition, and the 3' end, to which the tRNAs corresponding amino acid is attached (by aminoacyl-tRNA synthetases). tRNAs cope with the degeneracy of the genetic code in two manners: having more than one tRNA (with a specific anti-codon) for a particular amino acid; and 'wobble' base-pairing, i.e. permitting non-standard base-pairing at the 3rd anti-codon position.
Source: RNAcentral
AGCGGGGUAGGGCAGUCAGGAGUGCCCGAUGGGCUCAUAACCCAUAGGUCGGAAGUUCAAAUCUUCCCCCCGCUA